Molecule: non-coding RNA, 71 nt
Filed under: Pseudomonas mosselii
Lineage: Bacteria; Pseudomonadati; Pseudomonadota; Gammaproteobacteria; Pseudomonadales; Pseudomonadaceae
Description: narK RNA
Rfam family: narK RNA
Source: RNAcentral
GGCCCGGCUCUUGCUGAAAUCGCCCCGGUAGCCAACGGCGGUUGCCCCCAUACCCCCGACAAAGACGUCGC